Long non-coding RNA from Dermacentor silvarum, 2556 nucleotides. RefSeq lists it as uncharacterized. The transcript is spliced from 4 exons. Lineage: Eukaryota; Metazoa; Arthropoda; Arachnida; Ixodida; Ixodidae. The record is from RefSeq and is a predicted model, not a curated record.
GGCGAAGCUGUGAUUCCUGUCGCUAUUGGCGUAAUAGUUCAGCGGAAAUUGUCGCUAUUGUGAUUUCACUCUGAAUAGGAAGGAAGCGGCGCUGGAUUGUUACACAAGUGUUGCACCAGUGAAGGAUGUCUGUGGGCCACCUUGCAUUCAGUUUCUCAGCCAUGAGGGCCUGCUUGCAAUACCAGUGGCACAGCAGUCUGUUAUGUUGUGCUAUUUCUGGAUGGACACAAGCAUUGCUGAGGAGACAUUUGACCUGCCACUAUACCAAUACUGUAUUUGGCAAAGCAGAAGGCACCUGCAAGCAACCAGUCAUUCCGAUUCUCAACCAAUCCUUCCUCUAGUCAGCCCAUUUCUAGUGUCUUGUCAUGCAACUUGCCAAGGUUGAAGACUGGGCGUGUUGGUAUAGCACACUAGAGGUUGGAUUGAGCAACAUUUUGACGAGACGCACAGAAGAGAAACACACACCACAGAGCGCUACUUGCAACUAUCAAUUUAUUCCCUUGUCAGCGGAAUAAAUACAGGAAGAUACUCAAAGGGGGAGAGUGACAAAAAAAACUUUACAAACAGGGCCAUCCGUCAGUACCAAGCCGGCUUUGUCACAUGAUCAUUUUUGCUGCACUCGACAUCACAAAAAAGAAACGAGGAUACAAAAUUGCAGAUUAGGACAUGAGGAAAUCUAUUUCUUUUGUGCUAAGCAAGACGGAUGGCAUGCUUACGCACAUACUUCCCAUACACAGGCAAUCUCAGUGGCUUCGAUUAUCUCGCAUCAUUUGGCAAAGAAUGGCCAACAUCCGCAAUCUCUACAAUGUAUCCCAAGGUGUUCAGCGACUUCAUGCUCCUUUAAUCUUUCGUUCAGAUAUCGUCCAGUCUGUCCGAUGUACUUCCUGCCGCACUAAAGUGGAACAGAAUAUACCAGUCCCUCAGUGCAGUCGACGAACGUCUUUCUUUAUUAUCUGGGAGGGAGCCUUGCAUUUCAAACACACAUGAAAAAAUAGUGGUGAUAACGUACAUUCAUUCGAUAGCGCACUGUGUAAAGAAAAUUGGUAAAAGAUGCAAUGUAAAAGUGGUGUUUUCCGCACCGGAAAAAUUGCUGAGCACGUGUGCGAAGGUAAACCAAGGUGCCACACAGAUACGAGGCUGUGAAACAUAACAGAGAAUGUUCGUCGACUGCACUGAGGGAGUGGUAUAUAUGCUGUUCCACUUAAGUGCGGCAGAAAGUACAUCGAACAGACUGGAUGAUGUCUGAACGAAAUAUUAAAGGAGCAUGAUUAUGUUUCAAAAGCAGUCGCCAGACACCUUGGGAUACAUUGUAGAGAUUGCAGAUGUCGGCUAUUCUUUGAGAAGUGCAAGAUUGCAUACCUGCCAACUCUUCCGAAUUUUCCGUAAAAUGUACGAAUUUGGACCCGUCUUAAGGUUUUACGAAUGUCGGCUCAAUUUUUACGGAAAAGUGGUUAUAUUCGCGAAAUUAUUUUUUAAAAUUCCUAAUAAAGUCACACCGUUGCUGGUGGGCAGGGGCGCCACUUACAUAGGGGCGCAUAGAGAUGGGGGUGUGUGCCGUAACCUGUAUUGUCUGCAGAGUAAGGACAUUUUUCACUCUGUGACGUUGCCUUCGUCAUCAGGUCGUCGGACGUCACUGGUUGUCGUUACGUCGCCGUCGUCCCCAGAGACGACGGCGAUUUCGGGUGGAUGCGGCAGGCACAGUUUCUGUAUCAGAGGCCGUGGCUUGUCGUCUCACCUGUCACCUUCGCGAGGCUUUUUUCUCGAGUAUAAGCUGUUUUGUGGGCCUCACUUUUUUUUCAGUGCGACUCCGGUACUCCGGUGUUUCGUAGCCGUAGCGCCUAUGAAGUGUGAUGGUGUGCUCGAAGCCUCGUCAGUACUAGACUCCAGCAGUACUUCCAAGUGUGUUUGUGAAGUCGUACUCCUUGACAGAAUUCCCGUGCUGCCCCCCCCCCCCCCAGGUCGCGAGUUUACGAAUUUGAAAGUCUUGGGGUUGGCAGGUAUGAGAUUGUGAGCAAAGAUGGCAGCCAAAUGACGCGAGAGAUAACCGAAGCCGCUGAGAUUGCGUGUGUGAGAAGUAUGUGUGUAAGCAUUCCAUCCGUUUCUCUUAGUGCAAAAGAAAUAGAUUUCUUCAGGUGCUAAUCUAAAAUUUUGUAUCCUCGUUCCUUUUUUGCGAUGUCGAGUGCAGCAAAAAUGAUCAUGUGACAAAGCCAGCGUGGUAUUGGUGGAUGGCCCUGUUUGUAAAGUUUUUUUGGGGUUUUUUUUUGUCGCUCUCCCCCUUUGAGUAUGUUCCUGUACAGUGGAAUGUCGAUACGAAUCUCACGGGGUUACGAAAAAUAUUCGUAUUAGCCGAAAUUCGUAUCAUCGAAACACAAUUAAAACUAGCUAAAUUAAAGAGUCAGAGGGAACUCACUCAGGCACACGCACGUAAAGAGCAUCUACAGUAUAGACCACUUAUAACAUAACCAUUUAUAGUGCAGAACUGGCUACAAUGCAGCCUUUUCCAACUCCCAUUUACACUCUAAUAGAACUCCAUGUAUACGCAUACCUCUUAGAGUG